CAGUCGCCGCGGUAAUACGAAGGGUGCAAGCGUUAAUCGGAAUUACUGGGCGUAAAGCGUGCGUAGGCGGUUUGUUAAGUCUGUUGUGAAAUCCCCGGGCUCAACCUGGGAAUGGCAAUGGAUACUGGCAAGCUAGAGUGUGCCAGAGGAUGGUGGAAUUCCCGGUGUAGCGGUGAAAUGCGUAGAGAUCGGGAGGAACAUCAGUGGCGAAGGCAGCCAUCUGGGACAACACUGACGCUGAGGCACGAAAGCGUGGGGAGCAAACAGGAUUAGAUACCCCCGUAGUCCCUGUCUCUUAUAC
This 301-nucleotide ribosomal RNA is filed under the name uncultured bacterium. RNAcentral describes it as "partial 16S ribosomal RNA". It matches the Rfam family "Bacterial small subunit ribosomal RNA", at positions 509 to 807 of the family's 1533-position model. The record is from RNAcentral.